This 296-nucleotide ribosomal RNA is filed under the name uncultured eukaryote. RNAcentral describes it as "partial 18S ribosomal RNA". It matches the Rfam family "Eukaryotic small subunit ribosomal RNA", at positions 592 to 975 of the family's 1831-position model. The record is from RNAcentral.
CAAUAGCGUAUUUUUAAAUUGUUGCGGUUAAAAGCUCGUAGUUGGAUUUCUGCCGAGGACGACCGGUCCGCCCUUUGGGUGAGUAUCUGGCUCGGCCUGGGCGCCUUCUUGGAGAACGUAGCUGCAGCAUGGAAUAGUAAGAUAGGACAUCGGUUCUAUUUUGUUGGCAUCUGGCGCUGAGGUAAUGAUUCAUAGGGAUAGUCGGGGGCAGUCGUAUUUGAUUGUCAGAGGUGAAAUUCUUGGAUUUGUCAAAGAGCGAUUAUUGCGAAAGCAUUUGCCAAUGAUGUUUUNCAUUG